RNAcentral lists this ribosomal RNA (497 nucleotides) under uncultured bacterium. RNAcentral's name for it is "partial 16S ribosomal RNA". It matches the Rfam family "Bacterial small subunit ribosomal RNA", at positions 28 to 507 of the family's 1533-position model. The record is from RNAcentral.
GAUGAACGCUGGCGGCGUGCCUAAUACAUGCAAGUCGAGCGAACGGACGAGAAGCUUGCUUCUCUGAUGUUAGCGGCGGACGGGUGAGUAACACGUGGAUAACCUACCUAUAAGACUGGGAUAACUUCGGGAAACCGGAGCUAAUACCGGAUGAUAUUUUGAACCGCAUGGUUCAAAAGUGAAAGACGGUCUUGCUGUCACUUAUAGAUGGAUCCGCGCUGCAUUAGCUAGUUGGUAAGGUAACGGCUUACCAAGGCAACGAUGCAUAGCCGACCUGAGAGGGUGAUCGGCCACACUGGGACUGAGACACGGUCCAGACUCCUACGGGAGGCAGCAGUAGGGAAUCUUCCGCAAUGGGCGAAAGCCUGACGGAGCAACGCCGCGUGAGUGAUGAAGGUCUUCGGAUCGUAAAACUCUGUUAUUAGGGAAGAACAUAUGUGUAAGUAACUGUGCACAUCUUGACGGUACCUAAUCAGAAAGCCACGGCUAACCACGUG